UGCAGUCGGACGGGAUUGAGGAGCUUGCUUCUCAUGAGAGUGGCGCACGGGUGCGUAACACGUAUGUAACCUACCUUGUUCAGGGGGAUAGCCUCUCGAAAGAGAGAUUAACACCGCAUAAAAUCAAUUUAUGGCAUCAUAGAAUGAUCAAAUAUUUAUAGGAACAAGAUGGGCAUGCGGAACAUUAGCUAGUUGGUAAGGUAACGGCUUACCAAGGCUACGAUGUUUAGGGGAUCUGAGAGGAUGACCCCCCACACUGGUACUGAGACACGGACCAGACUCCUACGGGAGGCAGCAGUAAGGAAUAUUGGUCAAUGGACGCAAGUCUGAACCAGCCAUGCCGCGUGCAGGAAGACGGCCCUACGGGUUGUAAACUGCUUUUGUACCGGAAUAAACCUUUUCACGUGUGAGAAGCUGAAUGUACGGUAAGAAUAAGGAUCGGCUAACUCCGUGCCAGCAGCCGCGGUAAUACGGAGGAUCCAAGCGUUAUCCGGAUUUAUUGGGUUUAAAGGGUGCGUAGGUGGCCUAUUAAGUCAGGGGUGAAAGACGGUAGCUUAACUAUCGCAGUGCCUUUGAUACUGAUGGGCUUGAAUACACUUGAGGUAGGCGGAAUGUGACAAGUAGCGGUGAAACGCAUAGAUAUGCCACAGAACACCAAUUGCGAAGGCAGCUUACUAAAGUGUUAUUGACACUGAGGCACGAAAGCGUGGGGAUCAAACAGGAUUAGAUACCCUGGUAGUCCACGCCCUAAACGAUGAAUACUCGAUGUUGGCGAUAUACGGUCAGCGUCUAAGCGAAAGCGUUAAGUAUUCCACCUGGGGAGUACGCCCGCAAGGGUGAAACUCAAAGGAAUUGACGGGGGCCCGCACAAGCGGA
Molecule: ribosomal RNA, 876 nt
Filed under: uncultured bacterium
Lineage: Bacteria
Description: bacterial SSU rRNA
Rfam family: Bacterial small subunit ribosomal RNA
Source: RNAcentral